RNAcentral lists this long non-coding RNA (14437 nucleotides) under Triticum aestivum (bread wheat). RNAcentral describes it as "long non-coding RNA (TAES_LNC015088)". The record is from RNAcentral. Lineage: Eukaryota; Viridiplantae; Streptophyta; Magnoliopsida; Poales; Poaceae.
CACGCCAAGGCAAGGCAUCCAUUGGAUCAUCAACAAACUAAAUCAUUCAUGGUCUUCGAUGGUUUACUUUGCUGCGUAAAGAAUACUGCUGCUGUCAGUUGUAUUGGAUUGGAUCCUUGGUGACGACUACUGGUUCAGACGGUUUACUUUCCUGGUUAAGAAGUGUCGGUUGUAUUUUUUAUCCUUGUUCUCAUGUCUAGUUGUCUACUAGUACUACUACAGUUGAGACAGUGUGCUUUCCUGGAAAAACAAGUGUCGGUGAGGGUGUGAUGCUUCUUGAGAUGUUUUAAUGGCCAUUCAUGGCGUGUAGCGUGCUUAUGUUAUUGCUCAUUAAUUGCACUACUAGUUGUGUGGUCUUUUAAUAUUCGACCGACCACUCGACUUUCUAUUUCUAUCUUUGCUUUAAUAGUUUGAACACUGGAGGGUCCCGAAGGAGCAUAAGUUUCAUUAGGUCCUGUUUGGUUCAUAAGGCUGGUCAUAGUGGGGAGUAACUUAGACUAGUAACAUACAUAUGUUACUAGUCUAUGUUACUACCUUUAUAGUGGGUAGUGUCAUAGGUGUGGUAACAUAGUUGCCUUCAUUUAUUACUUUGUAGACUCAUUAUGCAUUGGAAACCGCUAUGUGAUGGUAACAUAUUAUGUUACUCUAUUUGCCUCUCUCCUCAUUAACUACUUGCCACAUCAUCAUUUUUGCUUAUGUGGCAUCUAUGUUACUAUCUAUGUUACUCCCACUAUGACCAGCCUAAGUCCUAAGACUUUUUUAGGCUAGCAUAGUGGGGGUAACUUAGGUAGUAACUUAACACAUCCCAAGACAAAUUUGCUUAUGUGGCAAGUAUUUAAUGAUGAAAGAGGUGCUUGUGGUAACAUAAUAUGUUACUGUAACAUAGCGCUUCCCGAGGCAAAUGAGUCUAUAAGCUAAUAAAUAAAGCAAUUUAUGAUACUAGUAUUAUGUUACUUUGCACUACGGAGGUAGUAACUUAGACUAGUGUCAUAUGCAUGACAUUAUUAUAAGUUACUCCCCACUAUGACCAGCCUUAGUCCCAACUUAUAAGUCCCAAGUCCCUAAAAAGUCCCUACCUGUUUGGUUACUGGGACUUAUAAGUCUCUAUAAGACCAUAUUAUAACUAUAAGUCACUAUAAGUUCCUCCUUGAGAGUCUUAUUUCAUAAGUUCCAAAUGCCCACUUUAAGUCCCCAUAAAUCCCUCCUGUUUGAUUUAGAUGGGACUUAUAGGGACUUAUUUAAGUUUCUAGACCAAUAAUCCCUGAAAACAAACACCCUUUUAAUCUCCUGCUUAAAAAAAAUGACGGAAACGUUACUCCUAGCAAAAGAAUUGAACACGUCAGGAUUGGUCAUGCUUGCUGAAGGGAAUUGCCAGGCUCGUGACACAUAAAAAGUUGAUUUGUCAUGUUUAAAAAUCCAAGAUUUAUAUCGUUGUUAAAAAGGGAUGCGUUUAACGAGUGGCCGUUGGCUUACUAGUAAUCCGGAAUGGUUGGCCAGCCUUAAAAAGUGUUGGUCCCCUCUACUACUAACUCAUAUUAGGAAAAGUACCCAUAUAAACAGGUGUGAACACAUUUAAUUUAUAUUUCAUUCUUUUAAAGAUGUGUAUAGUGAGUGGCCGUUGGCUCGACUACUUGUCGGAGUAAUCGACCACGGGUACCCCGAGGACAGCAAAACAAUAUUUUAAGACAUCGGAGCUAGCAAAGCCCAUCAGUCCGACUGUCCGGCAGCUCCUGCCGGCUUCCCGUCCGAUUGCUCUGCCCGGCCGACUGCCGGCUGCCGACUGCAGCCCGACCCGACACCGACAAGACACCGACGAAACGGCCAUACCUCCGAUGAGACGAGCGUACCCGAGCACUAUUCACGUGUCAUCUCAGCCAUCAUGUAUAGUAUCACUUAUCCCCUGACACUAUUUAUGAAGUGACCCAGGGGACAAGGAUGACAUGCACCAUGCCUUACCCAUGCCCACUACCAAGCUUACAUCCUAAGCUACCUUCUCCUAUAUAAAGGGGCAUCCAUCCAUCCGUCCGGGGGAUGGACUCUCACGCGCACACACACACAAGAACUAGCUAGCAAGCUAGCUAGCUAUCCAUCCAUCCAUCCAUCCACAUGAGCACACAUGCUCACGGCCAUGAGCAUGGCCGGCCACUAGCAUGCCUCAUAUAGGCAUAUACAAAGCCAGAUGCCUAUGGCACUGAUCUCAGAUACAACUCCAGAAGCACUCUCUACAGAUAUAUCAGAUAUACUCAGACAUGCAGCAGUAGGAGUAUUAUCUCUCCGGAGAGCUCCGAAGCUGGGUAAACCAUCGCGUGCUACUCGCAUACCCGCUCCCGGUCCUAUCAACAGCAGUCUUACCCACAAACUAAGCCCUUGUGGCAUUUGUCGACUCGCAAGCUUCCCGUGAGAAAUACCACGACAGUUGGCGCCCACCGUGGGGCGGUACUAUGCUACCACGCUGCUGCUGGUUUCGCUGUCCGGGCGGGACCAUCUUCGUCUUCACCGCCGCGGCGUCGCGCCGUCUCUCCGGUAGCGCUCGGGGGCUCGACUUCGACCCGCCCCCAGAGCGGUCGCACGGGACGGCGCGUCCUCGUCGUCGGCCUUGCCGCCUUCGUCAUCACCACCGGUGCGACGCCGGCCGUUCGUUCGCGUGCGCGCCGCGCCGCCUCGCUUUGGUCGGCCGCGUCCAUCCACGCGCCGCUCGCAUCCGCUCCUUUCCACGCCGCGUCUAGCUCCGACCGGAACGAGCGUUCGCUACUCCAUAUAUCAUCUACGCUAGCUAGCUAGAUGCAAGUCAACCAUAGUCAUACACCACUCAAAACACUUCCCUGAUGCAAGCCAGACUAUGGCCAUAUACUAGUUAGAUUAUGGCCAUACGUGCCUUGCACCCGCAUCAGAUAACAUUCAGACCACGCCCAGACAAUGGCGCGGGUUUGCUGCUACUAUUGCCCGCUGCAUGCUUGCUCCUGCAACCGCUGAAGCCCGCGGGCACCGCGGCCGAUCGCGCCGGCGCUCCCGCCGUCCGCGCGCCUGCACCCCUUCUCUGCACUCGCGCGCGAGCCCCAUAGCCUGCUGCUGCUGCUCCCCGUCGCCCCGUGGGUUUCGGUCGCCCCCGCAGCGCUGCUCCGUCCACAGCGUCCCGUCGCUCCUGCAUCGCCGCCACCAAGCGCCCCCACGCGCGGGCGCGCGCUGCCUCGUCGCAUAGACGUCGCCCUACUGGCCCCGCGCGCGCCUCCCCUUCCUCCUUCGCGCCCGUCCGCGCCGGACUACCACAGCCGUCCGUCCCCGCACCGGCUGGUUCUGGGCCCCUGCCGGCUGCUGGGUGCUCCGCACCAGCCGGCUUCGGGCCCUCUCCGGCUCGCCUCCGCCCCGUUGGUCCGCUGCCGGCUGGGCUCCGGCGCUCGCCGCGUGCGCCUCUAUCCGGGUUGCCGCUGCCGCCUUCCNNNNNNNNNNNNNNNNNNNNNNNNNNNNNNNNNNNNNNNNNNNNNNNNNNNNNNNNNNNNNNNNNNNNNNNNNNNNNNNNNNNNNNNNNNNNNNNNNNNNNNNNNNNNNNNNNNNNNNNNNNNNNNNNNNNNNNNNNNNNNNNNNNNNNNNNNNNNNNNNNNNNNNNNNNNNNNNNNNNNNNNNNNNNNNNNNNNNNNNNNNNNNNNNNNNNNNNNNNNNNNNNNNNNNNNNNNNNNNNNNNNNNNNNNNNNNNNNNNNNNNNNNNNNNNNNNNNNNNNNNNNNNNNNNNNNNNNNNNNNNNNNNNNNNNNNNNNNNNNNNNNNNNNNNNNNNNNNNNNNNNNNNNNNNNNNNNNNNNNNNNNNNNNNNNNNNNNNNNNNNNNNNNNNNNNNNNNNNNNNNNNNNNNNNNNNNNNNNNNNNNNNNNNNNNNNNNNNNNNNNNNNNNNNNNNNNNNNNNNNNNNNNNNNNNNNNNNNNNNNNNNNNNNNNNNNNNNNNNNNNNNNNNNNNNNNNNNNNNNNNNNNNNNNNNNNNNNNNNNNNNNNNNNNNNNNNNNNNNNNNGCCUGCGUCGGGCCGGCUCCGCAUCGCCGCCGCACCUGCAGUCGCGCGCCCGCGGGACUCGAGUCGCCCCGCCGGCUCCGCGCGCGCCCGGUCGGCCUGCUCCCGCGCUAGCUCGCUCCCCCGCAACCCGGCCGGCCGGCUCCCACGCUGGUUGGCUUCCACCCGCGACCCGGCCGCCGGUUUGCGCCGUGUCCGGCUCCUGCCUGCUGCUCAUGCAAAGAGAGAAAGAAAGUAAGUGAUGCCGACUGAAAAAAGAAAAUUCAGGCCGACUGCUCCUCGCGAGAAAGAAAAAGAGAGAAAAGAAAGGGUCGGCUGGAUCAACACAGUGCGCCGGCUGCGUUCGAGAAAAAUGGGGCCGGCUGCCUGAGGUGCGGCUGAAAUGUCAAGGGCCGAUUGCCCACAGCCGGCUUGGUGAAAAAAAAGGGAGGAGCUGACUGCGCAGACUACAGUCCAGCCGACUGCUUUGGUCAACAGCCCGUGUUGCCGCUCGGCCAGCUGUUUCAUCUGCCCGCUUCGCUGCCUGGCCGACCGACGAGCUGGUCCGGCUGCGCGUAGCCGGCUGACGAGAAAAAGAGAUGAAGACAAAGUAGUUGCCGGAAGAUCCGGCCCGACUGCUCAGCAGUCGACCCGAAUCUCGGGGGCUACACCCAGCAGGUGCACUGACGCGCCCCCGCGAGAAAGAAGACAAAGUAGUUGCCGGAAGAUCCGGCCCGACUGCUCAGCAGUCGGCCCGAAUCUCGGGGGCUACACCCAGCGGGUGCGCUGACGCGCCCCCGCAAGAGAGAGAAGACAAAGUAGUUGCCGGGAGAUCCGGCCCGACUGCUCAGCAGUCGGCCCGAAUCUUGGGGGCUACACCCAGCAGGUGCGCUGGCGCGCCCCCGCGAAGAUUGCAGACAAGAGAAAAAUUUUGUCCGGCUCCGAACAGCCGGCAGAAGAGAAAAAGAAGAAGAUAGGUGCUGCAAGACGCCUGGCCGGUCGAGCCUGACCGGCCGGGACCCCCCUUCGAGCACCCGGAGGCUCGAAGGCUUCACCCUUUAGAUAACCCGCAACGACCGCGACUACACGAAAAUCAAUGUGAGCUCCUCGCCCGCAUAUUUUUGCAUCACGCAAGCACGGAUAACCCCGAGCGAUGCUCGGGUGCUAUCUCCACAUUUUUUAUGACAGUAGCAUCACUGUUCGCCCCGGCACCAGCCAGAGUUGGCCCGGGGGCUGCCCGCUUGGCCUGAGACGUUAGUUCCCGUAGACGGCUUAGUACCGUGCGCGGUACCAAAGGCCCACUCUCAGUCACAGACCGCAGAGCGGCUGUCUGACUAGCAAGAGUGAACGCUGGAGGUCACCCACGCGAAAAAACGUCCGGGAAGAAAAACGGAUCAGGCGAUCCGGCCGUUUCCUUUACAAGUAUCUACUCGGUUGAAUCUGCUCCUAGACUCUGAGUACUGUACACUCCACUUCGCGGCCCACUCUUAGGCACAGACCGCAGAGCGGCUGUCCGGCAAGCAAGAGCACAAACCAAAAAGCAGAGGGAACACGAAAAAGAUUAAGGGGGCUCGGACGAAACCGAGUCGGCACCCUCCGCAUAAAACUUGCAAUGCUAAAAGCAAACAUUCUAUAUAUCUGCAUGGACUAACUUUGUCUUUUUUCUUGAUAAUUUCCAUGAACACUCGCCAAAAAACCUCCGCCCAACUUUGCCAAGUUGCCCGGAGGCUUGGGGGCUACUGUCGGAGUAAUCGACCACGGGUACCCCGAGGACGGCAAGACAAUAUUUCAAGACAUCGGGGCUAGAAAAGCCCCUCAGUCCGACUGUCUGGCCGCUCCUGCCGGCUUCCCGUCCGAUUGCUCUACCCGGCCGACUGCUGGCUGCCGACUGCGCCAACCAGCCGGCUGCCGACUGCGCCAACCAGCCGGCUGCCUACUGCAGCCCGACCCGACACCGACAAGACACCGACGAGACGGCCAUACCUCCGACGAGACGAGCGUACCCGAGCACUAUUCACGUGUCAUCUCAGCCAUCAUGUAUAGUGUCACUUGUCCCCUGGCACUAUUUAUGAAGUGACCCAGGGGACAAGGAUGACAUGCACCAUGCUUUACCCAUGCCCACUACCAAGCUUACAUCCUAAGCUACCCUCUCCUAUAUAAAGGGGCAUCCAUCCGGGGGAUGGACUCUCACGCACACACACACACAAGAACUAGCUAGCAAGCUAGCUAGCUAUCCAUCCAUCCAUCCACAUGAGCACACAUGCUCAUAGCCAUGAGCAUGGCCGGCCACUAGCAUGCCUCAUAUAGGCAUAUACAAAGCCAGAUGCCUAUGGCACCGAUCUCAGAUACAGCUCCAGGAGCACUCUGUACAGAUAUACCAGAUAUACUCAGACAUGUAGCAGUAGGAGUAUUAUCUCUCUGGAGAGCUCCGAAGCGGGGUAAACCACCGCGUGCUACUCGCAUACCCGCUCCCGGUCCUAUCAGCAGCAGUCUUACCCACACACUAAGCCCUUGUGGCAUCUGUCGACUCGCAAGCCCCCCGUGAGAAAUACCACGACACUACUAAUCCGGAGUGGCUGGGUGUUGGUCCCCCCAAUCCAUACUAGGAAAAAUAUCUAUGUGAAUAAGUGUGAACACACUUAAUUCAUAUUGGUCGUUGUAUCGCUAGUACUAGAAAAAAAAUAUCCAUGUGGACAGGUGUGAACGCAUUUAAUUUAUAUUUUAUUUUUUCUAAAAGGAUGUGUCUGGUGAGUGCUUAUUGGCUCGCUAGUAAUCCGGAGUGUUUGACCAGAUUUGAAAAGUGUUGGUCCACUAAUUCAUAUUACUAGGAAAAGCAAUCCAUUGCAUUGAACAAGUAUGAAUACAUUUAUUUCAUAUUUUUAAUUUUUUAAAGUCAUAAGUUUUGAAUUGAAACCGAAAUUAAAAUCCGUUUUCACUGCUGGAAUUCUCUCGACAUGCUCUUCGAAACUAUAUCCCAUUGGGUAUGUUUCGAUGAAUUUUGUGUGUGUAAUUUAGUCCCUAUUAGGUGGGAUGCAGAGGAAGAGCACACGGUGAUGACGCCCACCACAAUCUAAGCCAAUCCUCAUUUGUUUGAGGAUAGUGCAACUUUACAUUAAAUUGACAGCAAUUUCACAAUACAACGCUUUGUGUAUAUGCCAAUAGUAAAGAGCUGUCCACACCCAUUCAAUUUACUAGACAGUGCAUUUAAUUGACGCAGUGUCUGACAAAGUGGUGCAAAUUUUCAAUGGAGAGUUAUUGAAAAUAAAGGAAUGUGAACAUGCCAGGCAACUUACAGUGAAAAGGUAAAAUGGUAAAAGGUAAAAUAAAAGAUGCAGCUACAAAGACUUGGUACAAAUAACGUCUGAUUAAGUGUACAUAUAAAAUUACAUGAUCAAGGUUGAAUGGUUGAUAAUACAGAUUAACUAAUACAAACCAUAAAUAUGUCCAAAAUACCAUAUCUCCAGCAAAAGCACUAUUUCUUCCACUCGUACUAAACUACACGACAUAAUAUGUACUCCCUCCAUUUUUAUAUACAAAGCCACUAUAAAAAUAACAAUUUGCAGAUAUACAAGGCCAUUAACACUAAUCGAUGCAAUAUUAAUGGUGUUUGCCUCGGAGUACUAGCAAAGGAGGACAUUAACUAUCUUUUGCAUGCAUGGGGGAGUGGGAGCAUUGGCUUGAUGUGCAUGAAAGAGAAGAAUACACAUUAAUUUACAUGGCAAACAAGGAGAUAAGCUAGCUUGCAACAUUGACUUAGAAGACAUUAACUUUUGCCUUAGUACCUGUAAUAUGGGUUUAUGGCCUUGUAUACAAAAAUGGAGGGAGUACUAGGAAUGCAUACUCAAUUUGACCAUGCAUGCAUUGAUAUAACUGUGUGGCCCCAUGUCAAGCAUUGAUUGCCAACAAGUUGGAUUGUCUGUGUCAGGCAUUUACUAUAUUGAUAAUACUACGAUGAUUAAUUGUACUUUUAUGUCUUUAGUCUCUAGAGUUAGUAUCAUUAGAUUCUCAAUUAUUUUAGAAGAGGAUAAUUUGGAGAUUAAUAUAAUAAGAUUUCCUGGCAUUAUUAUCGCGAAGUUCUUGGGUUUUCAUCAAAGAUGAAAAAUAACAUAAAAUAUCAUUAUAACUAUCUCAUAAAAUCUUGGUUUUCCUAGAAAUAAAUAAUACUAUGGAAUUUGUAACAUGAAACUUUGAGGAAUUAGUACCACCUUGAAAAUAUCAUUUUAUUAAUUGAAAAUCAUAACAAUCAUGAAACCCAUCGUUUACUUUAAGGAAAGUUUUAGGUUGAAAUGAUAUAUUUUCCUUACAAAUUGGAACAACGGGUCGCAUUUAAGUUUUGAUGGGUGGUUGGGGAGUGGCCGCUGGAGAUGAUGGGUCUGCUUCUCUGCUACUGGUUAGGUCACUAUAGCUGUGUGAUUUAUACGAAAAUAUUUAGAGGGACAUACAUGAUGUGUGACUCAUGGAAUACAUCCCGACUAAUAUAGUGGUUGGGAUUCCGAUGCAAAUGAGUGGGGGAGAUUCCGGUGAACGUGGUCACCGUGUGCUCCCCUGCAAUUUCGCUAUUAGGUGCAAGUAUCUAGCAAUUGAUGUGGAACUAUCUAGCAGUCAAUGUGCAACUUUUUCCUAUGCCCGUGGAUGUGUAGUUUUCACAUAAGGUCGUGGUUGUAGUUGCUCUCUGCGCCAAUUGACACAACGAGUCAUCUAGUAAAUAUAAAUGACAAUACAAACCUAUGGACUCCAAAGACAUAAAAUUACAAAUCAAUCCCUUGUUUCUGCAUGGAGGUUGGGCCUGUGCAGCAGGCAUCCGCCAGCUCCAAUAACUAAUAACAAAAGAGAAGAGGGUGGACUCCAAACCAUUGCAACACUACCUUCACAUAGUCUUCCAAGCCGGGAUGAAGAAUAUGAGCUCGCGCCGAUGCAGAGACGUCCCCUCCAUGAGGCCGCCUUCGGCCAACAGAGUUUUUGACAACAAUGUCAACGAUGAUGAACUUCUCUCCGAAUGCCAGAUCCUGGUGAUCCACUUGUUCUCCUUGAUGCCUCCACCACCAUGGUGGUGGCCGGCAUAGAGAACUGAGUAGUGCAAACCUCCAGCUCGGGGACAAGGAGUAGGAUCUCAGAUCCGACAUGAUAUCCACUUCGAAUGACUAUUUCCCCGUCCACCAUGACUGUAGAGGAAAUCACACAGAAGAGAAGAGCAAGCACUAGAUUUGGUUUAUUCAGAAAAAGAAAAUCACCUACUAUAAACACAAUACCGAUUGGGCCUCUCUCCUCUCCCUUCUGGCAGCCGAAGCUAUGCAAGAAGGGAGAUAAAGAGGCCAAAGAUGAGGUGGUCGAGGGGACACGCGGGGGGGGGGCUCAGUGGAAGAUGUGGAGGUCAGCAAAGCGCCAAAUGACAUAGUGGCAAAUCUCAUCUCGGUUUUUUUAUUUUUGACCUACCACUUGAAAAUAGAGUCUACGUGAGGUGGAGAAGAACCUACGAUACUUAAAAUGGUGCACGUUAAUAAAAAAGCAUUUCAAUCACACGACACAUCACCUCCGACAUGUGGGGUGGAAGAAACGAAAGAAACACAUCAUUACAAAAAAACCUACUAGAACUAGUUAGCCAAUGGAGUUGCAAUAUUCUGUACCAAUGGAGAGUUGUACCCUGGAUGAUGUUCCACGAGACUUGCAAUACCCUUAGAAUUCUAUGCUACAAUUGAUUUCGACCAUCUCAAGUUGUGAAGCUCCUUCACCGAUAUUGCAACCACUCUCUACAAUAAUCGUCCGGUCGACGAUGUCGAAAACUCCACGGACAAUUAUGGAUUGGCACCCAAGCCAACUAGAUGAGAGCUAUUCUAUCGUCACAUAAAAUUUCCCCUAGGAAUCUUCGUAUAGAGUCCAUUUUGAGCUUACAUCGACCAUAAAGUCAAGCCAACUAGUUUUCAGCUUCAUCUAUUAUGUAUUACAUUGACCUGGUUAUUUAUUUUGAAUUGAAUUCUUCACUCAAUCCAGUAUGAACUUACCUUUCCAGUCGUUCUCAUCUAGGUCGGCUUCUAUUUCUUGCAUGAAUUGACUGUAUACCUCAAGAAACAUGGUUGAGGCAUAGACAUAAUAAUGUGUGUUGGUGCAAAGCUCUCCACCAUAGGAACUAGGAAGAGUGGGUCUUCUCUUGUAUUAUCGUUGCAUUGAUCCAAAAUCACUAGCACCCAAUAUCUGCCAAUGUGUUUUGGUGCUAGUUCUAAGGGCGAGUUUGAAACCUUAGGCAUAUCAGCUCGAAGUUCUCCUGCCUCUGUACUCUGUCGUGGUUCUAAGUCUGAUAGUAGAAUGGGGGUAGGUAUGAGGAGGCAAGAUCCUAGCUACGGUGAAGUUGUGCACGCAAAAUUUACGAGUCCAGGCCCUUCUCAGAGGAAGUAACAUCCCUACGUCUCGAUGCCCAGAGGUUGGUCGAUUGGAUUAUGCGUGAAGUUACAUGGGGUGCAAACCCUUGUCCUAGAGGAGGGGGUGGCUUAUAUAGACUGUGCCAGGACCCCAACCAUCUCCCGUUACAUAGAGUUUAAUGUACAUAAAGAGGGGACGUUACUGGUAACGUCAGCAUUAAAGUGAUAUAAAUGAUCUUUAAGACUACGGAGUGAACGCCUGACUGUUUCCAUCUAGAGUGACCUUAGAUCUUCCGUACUCCGAGUGGUUUCUGAUAUGGUCGAAUGAUUAUAUCCUGGUCGAAUAGAAUUGGGUUGUCCGAGUGGAACUCGUGGUCGAGUGAGUUGCAUCCUGAGGUGAUUUCAGUUGGUAGAAUUUACUGUCCUUUGAAUGUCUUCGAUUGUAGGGCAGUGUCCUUGGAAAGGGUGCUUAGAUCAGGUCUAUUGCCCUACCCUAGGUACAUGUCAUCAUCAUUAGCCCCCGAAUGGUUCUGGGUCCGAGUGGAGAUGGAGUUGAAGAUGGUUCCGACUCAAUGUUCAUGCUUCGGAAACAUUUUACUUGAAUUGGUGAACCAUGCAAAAAAAGCUGACGUCAUUUCCAGUCACCUUGAGCCAUUCAAAGGUUGCCAAAUGAACUUUAGCUGAUAAGCUUCGAAUGUUGAUAUGGCAUAAAAUCUUCGGUGUGAUCGACUGCGCUGCCGUUCCCGGAUCUCGUGGGAUUCGAAAUCUGAUGAAGUGCGCGGGACGGAGAGAGCCGCAGUAAGCGGGCGGAUUAGGCAGGGGCGCCUCGAUUCUCAUGCCACCUUUUUCGCCACGUAUCGAGCGCGCGACUGUUGCAGGAUUUGACAGGAUUGCCUGGGUCCACAAGUUAGUCACUCGGGGAAUAGGACCAUAUAAGGCGUCCGGGCCGGUGUCUUUGCACAGUGCACCCCAUUUUCCCCCUUCUUCCUCUGCUUCUCGACUGCAUCCGCCUCUGCACAGUCCGAGCUCAACCCGCUGCAAUGGGGAAGGACAAGACGGCGGCUCUGGAGCGCGCGAAGAAGGCGACGGUGAAGGCGAAGGGGAAGAAGACAAGCCGGGUAGGGUCGUCGUCGAGAACUGGCCUGCCGCCUGGCUGGAUCCAGGGCAACUAGAUCCGGUCGAUGAUCCAGUGAGAAGAUACGGAGGAUCUGGCUGAGGGGGGACUGAUUCCCUACGAUUCUUGGCGGCUUUCGGAGGACGAGACCGAGCCGCGACCGCAGGAGGGUGAGUGUGUCCUUCUUGCGACCCACGUCGACCUCGGUUUUCUCUUUGCCUCCCUAUCCUUUCUUGCGGGGUUUUCUAAACUUUUUUGGAGCCCAACUUCAUCACUUUUUUCCCAACACCAUCACAUACCUUGCUGCAUACGUGUCCAUGUGUGAGAACUUUCUAGGCUGUCAACCGCACUAGGGUCUCUUCAAACACAUUUUCACCUGUCAUUCUCAGUCUGUAAAAAAGGCCAAUCCGAGUGAUGAGAGGACACACGUGAUCCAGAUGUGUGGAGGUCUAGGGAUCCAGAUGAGGAAUAAAAGCACUUUCCCUACUAUGAUUCUUCCCGAGUCAGUCAGAGGGUGGCAGUCGACCUUGUUCUAUUGUAAGGACCAACCGACCCCGGGUCAGUCGACUGGCCUUCCCGCGUUUUCCAUAGGACGAGUUGAGAAGCCUUCUCCCUUGAGAGUGACUCCAGCUGAGAAAGUGGAGGUGAAUAUGUUGGUUGAGUGAGUAGUCCAACUUGUCCGUGACGGUGUGACUGGCAUGGACUUUCUAUUGUCGGAUGUGGGGUUCCGGCAAACCCUUAAGGUUCAAACACUGGGGUGCGCGCGAAGUCUUUCCCUCCUACCGAUCUACGCUCUAGCUCGCUAAGAUCUUGCGGACGAACUCGAUGAACUCACAACACAGAAAGACACGGGGUUUAUACUGGUUCGGGCCACCGUUGUGGUGUAAUACCCUACUCCAGUGUGGUGGCGGUGGAUUGCCUCUUGGGAUGAUGGUAAACAAUACAAGGGAAGAACAGCCUCCUGAGGUUGAGGUGUUCUUGUGCUUUCGGACUUGUGUGUACGUAUCUCUGGGUCUGAUGAGAUCCCUCUUCUCUACUAUGGUGGCUAGUCCUAUUUAUAGAGGCCCUGGUCCUCUUCCCAAAUAUCGAGCGGGAUGGGAGCCAACAACGGGGGCAACUUUGAAAGGGGCAGCUAGUACGAGCCAUCUUGACAAAAGUAUUCUUCGCCUACACAAAGCUCUGGUGGUGACGUCGUCUUGGGCUCCACGAUGACCUUCGUCUUGCAGUCCAUGGUCUUGGUCUUGUUGCACCGAAAUGGCAACCUUUGCCUAAUGCCUCGGUACUCCGCGGCUGCGCUUGCCCCCUUUGCACCAAAGAGGAAACAAGGACGUUGCGCGCGCUGGCGCCCGCCUGGUGUCGAUCGUCAUGGCUCACGUCACGAGAGCCUCGUGAGGUUUGCCCUGCCUUGAUAUCUCCGCUCCUCGUGAGCCUGCCUAGCUAGGACACUCCAGAGGAGGUCUUGCGUCGUCCGCCUUGCGAGGCCUAGCCCCCUCGCGAGGGUCUUGGGUGCCUUGUUGGUGAAGAUGGGCCAUAUGGCCUGCUGCUUGGCCACGCCGCGGGCCGCAGGCAGGCAAGUCUGGGGACCCCCAUUCCCAGAAUGCCGACAGUAGCCCCCGGGCCCAAGGUGUACUCGGGCUUGACUUCGUGGCGAAGCGAAGGGUCAAGUUCGAAGCACCGCGGGCCCCAAAAGCAUGUGGCCUCGGUUGACGCGUGGCGGUCCAUAGGUCGUGGGCGCCUCCACUUCCCCACGCUGCCUCGACGACUGCACAACUUGACAAGUCCCUGCGACAUGCAAGGGAACCCAUCAUGACCUGCGAUCGUGGGAGACGCCGGUUGGCCUUCUCUUGCUAUAAAUGGGGAGGGGGCAGAGCCCCCGUUGCCCAUCUCUUCCUCGCUUGUUCGCUUCUUCUUUGCUUCAUUGCUUGUAGUGCCUCCGAUGGCGCCACGAAGGAAGUUCUCUGCCGCCGAGAAGGGGAAGGCCCCUCACGAGGGCCCGGUUCCCCGGCGCCCAAGCGUGGUCGCGGCCGUCCGUGCAAGCACGCUGCGACCCCCACCGUGGCCCACCGUCGAGGCGGCGCCGCGGCAUGCGGAGGGGACCGUCCCAACCAAGGCGGUCCAGCUAACGAGGGGAGGCGCGCGAUGGUGGAGCGGCCUCCCCGCCCGCACUUCCAUUCAGCGGAGGUGUCGCCGGAGUUCGUUGUCUGGUCGGAGAACCCGGCCGUCAACUGGCUCCAGCUUCCGCGCUUCUUUGUCGAUGAACUGUCGGCCCCUGGUCCAGGCGGGCUCUGGUUGCAGGCGGAUGGUUGCUGCAGCAAGGCCUCCUGGGUCGCGGUCGAGACUUCCGCCGCGGGCAACAUAGCCUUGGCCCGUGACUGGCAGACGUUCGCCCGCGCGCACGGCCUGGGCAGGCGGUGCACGUUCCACUUCAAGUAUGACGGUGGGUCGACCCUCUAUGUGAGGGUGUUCGGGGAAGAUGGUCGCCGCGCCGGGUGCUGCCCCGAGACGAACGACGGUGAGGAGGUGCUCGGCCUUGGUGACGGUCGUGACGAGGAUGAGGGCGAGCCUGCCCUCGGCGGCGACCGCGUCUCUUCCAGCUACGGCGGCUCUUCCUCUAGUGACAGCCCCAGCAGCGGUGGCUACGACCAGCCGCCGCACCGCCGCGCCCGCUUCGAAGGAGGCAGCGGGUCAUCUCGUCGCCGCGCCUUCAUGAAGCGCGAGGAGGGGUCUGGCUAGGCUCCGGGAGUCGCUAAGGGCCUGCCUCCGCGGAUUGCUGAAACACCGCUUUGUUUAGCUUUUUCCUUUUUUUCCUGCAUCAGAAAAUGAAACUAGUAUGGGCCCAGAGGGGCGUGUAUCGAACUGUGGUUCUUAGUUAAUGCAACAUGCGUGUUAUUCCCAUGGCGUGUUGUUAUUUUGCGCAAAGAUAACCUAACCUGGCGCGUUUGGGAUGCCCUUUCCUUCACGAGAUGUCUACGUUUGCUCAGAAACUGCAAAAAAAU